RNAcentral lists this unclassified non-coding RNA (281 nucleotides) under Hevea brasiliensis (rubber tree). The record is from RNAcentral. Lineage: Eukaryota; Viridiplantae; Streptophyta; Magnoliopsida; Malpighiales; Euphorbiaceae.
UGGACAUCAACUGAACAUCAAGACUUGGAUAAUUUAUUUGUGGUCACCAUUGAUUAAAUCUGAUUUUGGGAUUAAGAUUAGAUUACUUCAGGUUAGAAUUGCUGAUAGGGAGAGACAGAAUAAAUUCAUUCAUUUCGCAAAAGUACAAUCUCUGCAUAUGCUCUUGCACUAAUGCUUGGGGUGGUCGAUAGUUACUUUUAGAGAAACAAACUCUUGUAUGCAUUUGGAUUUGGACUUGGACUUGGACUUUCAUUGCUUGUGACCUAAAAAGUUGAAAAUUA